Molecule: long non-coding RNA, 1023 nt
Filed under: Zalophus californianus (California sea lion)
Lineage: Eukaryota; Metazoa; Chordata; Mammalia; Carnivora; Otariidae
Description: lncRNA (ENSZCAG00015022879.1)
Source: RNAcentral
AUGGCACUGACAGCAGCCUUUGUGCGCUGCAUGGAGCCCCUGCUGCCGGGUGAGGAGGCAGAGGCCACGGCGGCUCUUCACCCUCGGCUCACCGACGCGCCGCUGACCAGCGAGGCAGGGGAGGGUGCCGCAGAGGUGCCGCCGGUCCGCGUGCCCGCGCCCAGCACCCACCGGGCGGCGCCCCCACUUUGUCCUGCGCGUAGGCGGGGCCCAGGCCGCGCGGGAGCUGCUCCAUUUCUCCCGGCCCCGAGAGUCCGCCGCGGCCUCGGCCUCCAGAGGCCAGUGCUCUGGGCCCGGACCCUCCCCGGCCGCAGACCCUGCCCCGCCUGCUCCCGCUCACCGUGCGCCGCGGCGCCGCGAGGCCGCCUGGCCCUCGUUCCCCCGCAGGUCGGCCGAGCUCUGGGCGAGCCGCGGGGCUGUGCGAGGGAGGCAGGCCGCGCCUCCGCGCCGUCCCUCAACGCAGCGCCCGCGAGCCUCGGGCACCUUAAAGAGACAGGCCCGCCGCCACCCCCCCCCCCCCCCCCCCCCCGCCACAGUUUCCCCUGUCCCUCCGCCCGCCUUCGGUUCCACGCUGCCGCCAGCUCCCGCCAGGAGGCGUCUCUCACUCCCGGGGCGCUCCUGUCAGCGCACGCCCCGGGCCCGCCCCUCCCCGCCUGCGGCCCGCCAGGCCCGGCAGGCCCACCGCCCCGCCUCCAGUCCGGUCCCGGCGUGGCCCGCGCGAAGGCCCCGCCCCCAGCCGUGGCUCCGCCCCCGGCUGCGACCCCGCCCCGCUCACGCACGAAGGCCCCACCCCGCCCUCCGGUCACGCCCAACAGAGGCCACACUCCCGCCCUCAGGGACUCCCGCCCCCAGGGACACCCACCCGGGCACCCACGCGCGCCUUGCCUCCGCCCUUCCCUGCCCCCGUCUCGGAUUUCUCUGUCGCCUACCUGGGGCUGCGGCUUACUUUCUGUGAGGCCCAUUCUCAGCGCUUGGCGUGUGUUCUUCACGGAGCCGAGAAUGCGACGUGCAUUAGCUCAGUGA